RNAcentral lists this long non-coding RNA (517 nucleotides) under Ananas comosus (pineapple). RNAcentral's name for it is "long non-coding RNA (ACOM_LNC016683)". Lineage: Eukaryota; Viridiplantae; Streptophyta; Magnoliopsida; Poales; Bromeliaceae. The record is from RNAcentral.
UUUGAAAGCACUGUAGCCUUACGCGCGCUCUCUCUCUCUGUAAUAUACCGAAUUUUAAUAUAAAGGUAAGUAUAAAUAAAAAUAGUAUGAGAUAUUAUUUUUAUUUGAUUUAAAGAAGUAAAAUAUGAGUCGGAAGUGACUUGUGCUGAAAUCGGAAUAAAAACAGAAGAUUUAAAAUUUUCUAUAAAGAACGGGGCUGAUAUUUUAGCAGAAAAUGCACAGUGUCAGAAAUUAUGAAAAUUGGAGAAUAUAUCAGAAUUAUUUUUAUGAGACUAGAUUUAAAGUUUCAUGUCAUUCCGACACCCGAAAAGUGAAAAUAAAAUCUGACUGCUAUUUGCUAGAGAUUUUAGUUCGGUAGAGCUUUCGGUGACAAAAAAUGGUCGAAACUGAGAAGUUAAGAUAUUGUUUUUCUUGUUAAGUUAAACCGAGCCUGACUGUCAAAUUUGAGUGCAAACUGACAUUCAGAAAGGCUCCGGCGAAAAAUAUCAGAUUCUGAAAGCUAAACUGAAAGUGAAUA